This 253-nucleotide ribosomal RNA is filed under the name uncultured bacterium. RNAcentral describes it as "partial 16S ribosomal RNA". It matches the Rfam family "Bacterial small subunit ribosomal RNA", at positions 524 to 776 of the family's 1533-position model. The record is from RNAcentral.
UACGUAGGGUGCAAGCGUUGUCCGGAAUUAUUGGGCGUAAAGAGCUUGUAGGCGGUUUGUCGCGUCUGCUGUGAAAUUUCGGGGCUCAACCCCGAACUUGCAGUGGGUACGGGCAGACUAGAGUGUGGUAGGGGAGACUGGAAUUCCUGGUGUAGCGGUGAAAUGCGCAGAUAUCAGGAGGAACACCAGCGGCGAAGGCGGCGCUCUGGGCCGGUACUGACACUGAGGAGCGAAAGCGUGGGUAGCAAACAGG